GACAGAGGAGCCAAGCGUUGUCCGGAUUGACUGGGCGUAAAGGGCGCGUAGGCGGUCAGCACAAGUCAGUUGUGAAAUCUCCGGGCUUAACUCGGAAAGGUCAACUGAUACUGUGCGACUAGAGUGCGGAAGGGGCAACUGGAAUUCUCGGUGUAGCGGUGAAAUGCGUAGAUAUCGAGAGGAACACCUGCGGCGAAGGCGGGUUGCUGGGCCGACACUGACGCUGAUGCGCGAAAGCCAGGGGAGCGAACGGG
Molecule: ribosomal RNA, 254 nt
Filed under: uncultured bacterium
Lineage: Bacteria
Description: partial 16S ribosomal RNA
Rfam family: Bacterial small subunit ribosomal RNA
Source: RNAcentral